This 67-nucleotide transfer RNA is filed under the name Diestrammena asynamora. RNAcentral's name for it is "tRNA-Asn". The record is from RNAcentral. Lineage: Eukaryota; Metazoa; Arthropoda; Insecta; Orthoptera; Rhaphidophoridae.
UUAAUUGAAACCAAAAUAGAGGCGUAUUACUGUUAAUAAUAUUAUUGAAAUUAUAUUUCCAAUUAAA